This 342-nucleotide unclassified non-coding RNA is filed under the name soil metagenome. Its description in RNAcentral is "partial contains 5.8S ribosomal RNA, internal transcribed spacer 2, and large subunit ribosomal RNA". The stretch from base 2 to 121 matches the Rfam family "5.8S ribosomal RNA", at positions 35 to 154 of the family's 154-position model. The record is from RNAcentral.
GGAUGAAGAACGCAGCGAAAUGCGAUAAGUAAUGUGAAUUGCAGAAUUCAGUGAAUCAUCGAAUCUUUGAACGCACAUUGCGCCCAUUAGUAUUCUAGUGGGCAUGCCUGUUCGAGCGUCAUUACAACCCUUAAGCCCUAGUUGCUUAGCGUUGGGAGCCUUACGCCGUAGGCGUAAACUCCUCAAAGUUAUUGGCAGAGUUACGACAUACUCUAAGCGUAGUAAUAUUUUCUCGCUUCUGAAAGUGUCGUGGCAAUCGCCAUAAGCCUCUAUAUUUCUAGUGGUUGACCUCGGAUCAGGUAGGAAUACCCGCUGAACUUAAGCAUAUCAAUAAGCGGAGGA